RNAcentral lists this ribosomal RNA (430 nucleotides) under Pseudomonadota bacterium. RNAcentral describes it as "Proteobacteria bacterium partial 16S ribosomal RNA". It matches the Rfam family "Bacterial small subunit ribosomal RNA", at positions 355 to 776 of the family's 1533-position model. The record is from RNAcentral. Lineage: Bacteria; Pseudomonadati; Pseudomonadota.
UGGGGAAUAUUGGACAAUGGGGGGAACCCUGAUCCAGCCAUGCCGCGUGUGUGAAGAAGGCCUUAUGGUUGUAAAGCACAUUAAGCGAGGAGGAGGGUACUGGUAUUAAUACUACCAGGUACUGGACGUUACUCGCAGAAUAAGCACCGGCUAACUCUGUGCCAGCAGCCGCGGUAAUACAGAGGGUGCGAGCGUUAAUCGGAUUUACUGGGCGUAAAGCGUGCGUAGGCGGCUAAUUGAGUCGGAUGUGAAAUCCCCGAGCUUAACUUGGGAAUUGCAUUCGAUACUGGUUAGCUAGAGUGUGGGAGAGGAUGGUAGAAUUCCAGGUGUAGCGGUGAAAUGCGUAGAGAUCUGGAGGAAUACCGAUGGCGAAGGCAGCCAUCUGGCCUAACACUGACGCUGAGGUACGAAAGCAUGGGGAGCAAACAGG